UGAAGCUGGUUCAUCACUAGUGCACACUGAACCUGUAUUUCUUCUUGUCAGCUUCGGAACCACCAAUAACCAUAUAGGCAGCCACGAUUACUAACUACCAACUAAACUAAAGUGAACGGUUCAUAACCAUCCAAGAUUUGCUGUUCUGAAGUUUAUCGGUGAUCAGCUGGUUCUGUGUCUUGCACUUCAGCUUAAGUUCCCAAUGCAUCUCAUUUCCAACGGAGACCUCGGCCCGUCACAAAUGUUUUAGUCUUCACACUAUCCUGCACUCGUUGCCUUGUUAUUUCGUAGAAAAGAAGUGUGGUUUCUUUUCUUUUUGGCUGUUGGAGCUGCCACACUGGUAAGCAAAAUGAUUUCUUCUCUUUUUUUUUUCCCUCUCGACGGGUGAAUCUUGUCAUAUACUCCCUCC
Molecule: long non-coding RNA, 409 nt
Filed under: Setaria viridis
Lineage: Eukaryota; Viridiplantae; Streptophyta; Magnoliopsida; Poales; Poaceae
Description: long non-coding RNA (SVIR_LNC001348)
Source: RNAcentral